CAGUCGCCACGGUAACACAGAGGAUGCAAGCGUUAUCCGGAAUGAUUGGGCGUAAAGCGUCUGUAGGUGGCUCUUCAAGUCCGCCGUCAAAUCCCAGGGCUCAACCCUGGACAGGCGGUGGAAACUACCAAGCUGGAGUACGGUAGGGGCAGAGGGAAUUUCCGGUGGAGCGGUGGAAUGCGUUGAGAUCGGAAAGAACACCAGUGGCGAAGGCGACUCUCUGGUCUGUAACUGACGCUGAGGAGCGAAAGCGUGGGGAGCGAGCAGGAUUAGAUACCCGCGUAGUCCCUGUCUCUUAUAU
RNAcentral lists this ribosomal RNA (301 nucleotides) under uncultured bacterium. Its description in RNAcentral is "partial 16S ribosomal RNA". It matches the Rfam family "Bacterial small subunit ribosomal RNA", at positions 509 to 809 of the family's 1533-position model. The record is from RNAcentral.